ACACCAUGCUAGGGGUGCCUGAAAAACCAGGCUGAGAUCAAACCCUUAACACCUGAGUCUGGGUAAUACCAGCGGAGGGAAGCUGUUUAUUUGAGGA
Molecule: non-coding RNA, 97 nt
Filed under: Cylindrospermum stagnale PCC 7417
Lineage: Bacteria; Bacillati; Cyanobacteriota; Cyanophyceae; Nostocales; Nostocaceae
Also listed under: 2 other names
Description: TPP riboswitch aptamer (THI element)
Rfam family: TPP riboswitch aptamer (THI element)
About the family: Vitamin B(1) in its active form thiamin pyrophosphate (TPP) is an essential coenzyme that is synthesised by coupling of pyrimidine and thiazole moieties in bacteria.
Source: Rfam by way of RNAcentral